RNAcentral lists this ribosomal RNA (341 nucleotides) under Klebsiella pneumoniae. RNAcentral describes it as "bacterial LSU rRNA". It matches the Rfam family "Bacterial large subunit ribosomal RNA", at positions 2572 to 2906 of the family's 2925-position model. The record is from RNAcentral. Lineage: Bacteria; Pseudomonadati; Pseudomonadota; Gammaproteobacteria; Enterobacterales; Enterobacteriaceae.
UAUGGCUGUUCGCCAUUUAAAGUGGUACGCGAGCUGGGUUUAGAACGUCGUGAGACAGUUCGGUCCCUAUCUGCCGUGGGCGCUGGAGAAUUGAGGGGGGCUGCUCCUAGUACGAGAGGACCGGAGUGGACGCAUCACUGGUGUUCGGGUUGUCAUGCCAAUGGCACUGCCCGGUAGCUAAAUGCGGAAGAGAUAAGUGCUGAAAGCAUCUAAGCACGAAACUUGCCCCGAGAUGAGUUCUACCCUGAGACUUUAAGUCUCCUGAAGGAACGUUAAAGACGAUGACGUUGAUAGGCCGGGUGUGUAAGCGCAGCGAUGCGUUGAGCUAACCGGUACUAAUG